UUAAGCCGUCUGGUCCAGGAGAUUUAUUACCUGGCAUCUUAAAGAUAACUGCUCGCACUUCCUCCUCCGUGACCUCCCUUUCCAACAUAGACCUAUCCCCUUCACUGCAUUUAAACUUUAACAACUCCUCCAAUUUUUCACGUGUUGUUCCUUCAUACUCUGGUGGAGAGUAGUUUAGGAAAUCAUGAAAAAAUCUCUCAGCUUCUUGUUUCACAUUCUCUCCCUUCACAACAGUCCCAUCUUCACACAAGAUCUCUCUGAUUGAGUUUUGAAUCUCUCUAAUUUUUACUGCAUUAUGAAACACUCUAUUAUACUCAUCAUAUCACUAUAUAAGACAUCUACGGGACGUGAAUGAAAGACCACAAAUACCUGCACUCGAAAAACAAAAAGAAAGUUACCUCUCCUAUACUUUCAAUGGCCGCAUACAGCCCUGUAUCAGAGUCGAAGCCAUACAAAUCCAUGUGGAAGAUUAAGACCAAGAUAAUUAUACUUUGGAAACAAUAUUAGGUGGCUGGUGGUCUCACGGCUCUCACCAUUGAGAUGGUCUUAAUUGAUUCUAACGUGAGACUAUUUCAACUGUACAUUUGUCUAUUUUACCUUGCCACUAUUUUAACAUAUUGUUUUAACGGAUUUGUUUUAUUAAUUUAUACAGGCUGAUUCAUGCUACUGUCAAGAAAGAUUUAGU
Molecule: long non-coding RNA, 685 nt
Filed under: Brassica napus (rape)
Lineage: Eukaryota; Viridiplantae; Streptophyta; Magnoliopsida; Brassicales; Brassicaceae
Description: long non-coding RNA (BNAP_LNC021755)
Source: RNAcentral